UGGGGAAUUUUGGACAAUGGGCGCAAGCCUGAUCCAGCCAUGCCGCGUGCGGGAAGAAGGCCUUCGGGUUGUAAACCGCUUUUGUCAGGGAAGAAAUCUUCUGAGUUAAUACCUCGGGAGGAUGACGGUACCUGAAGAAUAAGCACCGGCUAACUACGUGCCAGCAGCCGCGGUAAUACGUAGGGUGCAAGCGUUAAUCGGAAUUACUGGGCGUAAAGCGUGCGCAGGCGGUUUUGUAAGACAGAGGUGAAAUCCCCGGGCUCAACCUGGGAACUGCCUUUGUGACUGCAAGGCUUGAGUGCGGCAGAGGGGGGAUGGAAUUCCGCGUGUAGCAGUGAAAUUGCGUAGAUAUGCGGAGGAACACCGAUGGCGAAGGCAAUCCCCUGGGCCUGCACUGACGCUCAUGCACGAAAGCGUGGGGAGCAAACAGGAUUAGAUA
Molecule: ribosomal RNA, 439 nt
Filed under: uncultured bacterium
Lineage: Bacteria
Description: partial 16S ribosomal RNA
Rfam family: Bacterial small subunit ribosomal RNA
Source: RNAcentral